CUACACAUGCAAGUCUUACGCGAACGCAGGCUUCGGCCUGUCAGUAGCGUGGCAGACGGGUGAGGAACACGUGGGUAACCUGCCCGGAGGUGGGGGAUAACCUUUCGAAAGGAAGGCUAAUACCGCAUAACAUCUCGUGCUCCCCGGAGUGCGAGAUCAAAGCUAGCCUCUGUUUCAUGCUAGUGCCACCGGAGGGGCCCGCGUCCCAUUAGCUUGUUGGUGAGGUAACGGCUCACCAAGGCUCCGAUGGGUAGCCGGCCUGAGAGGGCGAUCGGCCACACUGGAACUGAGACACGGUCCAGACUCCUACGGGAGGCAGCAGUGAGGAAUAUUGCGCAAUGGGGGAAACCCUGACGCAGCGACGCCGCGUGGAGGAUGAAGGCCUUCGGGUCGUAAACUCCUGUCGAGAGGGACGAAAGCUGGAGAGGUUAAUAGCCUCUUCGGUUGACGGUACCUCCAAAGGAAGCCCCGGCUAACUCCGUGCCAGCAGCCGCGGUAAUACGGAGGGGGCCAGCGUUGUUCGGAAUUACUGGGCGUAAAGGGCGUGUAGGCGGCCUGGAAAGUCGGACGUGAAAUCCCUCGGCUCAACCGAGGAACUGCGUCCGAAACUGCCAGGCUUGAGUCCCGGAGAGGGUAGCGGA
RNAcentral lists this ribosomal RNA (641 nucleotides) under uncultured Acidobacteriota bacterium. RNAcentral's name for it is "bacterial SSU rRNA". It matches the Rfam family "Bacterial small subunit ribosomal RNA", at positions 49 to 665 of the family's 1533-position model. Lineage: Bacteria; Pseudomonadati; Acidobacteriota. The record is from RNAcentral.